UUCCACAUAUUUUGUUUAUCAAGAUAGUAUCCUUCUUUGUGCUUUGCUUUUCAGUUGGGUAAAAUGAUUCUGGUUGAAGCUGGCCUUGGCAGAACUGAAUCUGUGAUCAAGAAAGAUAGAUUCCGGCUAACAGCUCCUGUAGGAUUUGAUUCAAUCGUGACCCCAGGAAGACUCUCUGCCAUGAGCCCGAGUGGUGGAGAUGGUGCACAUGAUCUCACGGCACCAAGCAAAUGCAAUGAAUAUGUGAUUUUUGACCAUCUUCAGGUAAAACCGAUAUGUUUGAUUGAAUAUACCACUUCACAGGCCAGCGUUAAGAGUGUUAGGUUGUAAAUGCCUUAAUUUCUACCUUUCUAAAAGCAUUGAUAUUGUCUUUUUCCUAAACCUUUAUAAAAUACAUACAUUGCCGUCCACUAUGUUUCUGUGGUUUUACCAUGCAGAAAUCAACCAUCAUUUUACCAUGGUUUCUGUGGUAACACUUUUAUUUUUAAAUCUGUUGAAUUCCUGUAAUUUGAAAAUAUUUACUGAAAGUUUUGCCCUGAAAAGUAUAACUUAAAGUCGUAUUUAAAAUCUUAUUCUGGUGUCAUUCUAAGGUUUGUUUUUUGUUGUUUUUUAAGUUUUUUUUUCACCCAAUUUGAGCAUGGAGAAGCCUUCAGGCAUUGGACUGUAUGACGACUGUUACAAGCUCUCUCUCAUUCUAUAAGGUUUAAUUUGGUCAUCAAUACUUCUAAAUGGCUUUUAAAUAUUCUUGCAAAUAUUUGGUAUAUUUUCAUUGACAUUAGCAUUAUGCAUUGCGCAAAAGAGUUCACAAAAUUGGCUCUAAUGCUGAAUGAGUAUGAAAUCUGUCUAUGAUCAUUUACCAU
Lytechinus variegatus (green sea urchin) is the source of this 860-nucleotide long non-coding RNA. RefSeq lists it as uncharacterized. The record is from RefSeq and is a predicted model, not a curated record. Lineage: Eukaryota; Metazoa; Echinodermata; Echinoidea; Temnopleuroida; Toxopneustidae. The transcript has 2 exons.